UGGGGAAUAUUGGACAAUGGGCGCAAGCCUGAUCCAGCCAUGCCGCGUGAGUGAUGAAGGCCUUAGGGUUGUAAAGCUCUUUCGCCGACGAAGAUAAUGACGGUAGUCGGAGAAGAAGCCCCGGCUAACUUCGUGCCAGCAGCCGCGGUAAUACGAAGGGGGCUAGCGUUGUUCGGAAUCACUGGGCGUAAAGCGCACGUAGGCGGAUUGUUAAGUCAGGGGUGAAAGCCUGGAGCUCAACUCCAGAACUGCCCUUGAUACUGGCAAUCUCGAGUCCGGAAGAGGUAAGUGGAACUGCGAGUGUAGAGGUGAAAUUCGUAGAUAUUCGCAAGAACACCAGUGGCGAAGGCGGCUUACUGGUCCGGUACUGACGCUGAGGUGCGAAAAGCGUGGGGAGCAAAACAGGAUUAGAUACCCUGGUAGUCCACGCCGUAAAACGAUGGAGGCUAGCCGUUGGCGAGCAUGCUCGUCAGUGGCGCAGCUAACGCAUUAAGCCUCCCGCCUGGGGAGUACGGUCGCAAGAUUAAAAACUC
This 533-nucleotide ribosomal RNA is filed under the name uncultured bacterium. Its description in RNAcentral is "partial 16S ribosomal RNA". It matches the Rfam family "Bacterial small subunit ribosomal RNA", at positions 355 to 902 of the family's 1533-position model. The record is from RNAcentral.